This 497-nucleotide ribosomal RNA is filed under the name uncultured bacterium. RNAcentral describes it as "partial 16S ribosomal RNA". It matches the Rfam family "Bacterial small subunit ribosomal RNA", at positions 28 to 507 of the family's 1533-position model. The record is from RNAcentral.
GAUGAACGCUGGCGGCGUGCCUAAUACAUGCAAGUCGAGCGAACAGAUAAGGAGCUUGCUCCUUUGACGUUAGCGGCGGACGGGUGAGUAACACGUGGGUAACCUACCUAUAAGACUGGAAUAACUCCGGGAAACCGGGGCUAAUUCCGGAUAACAUUUAGAACCGCAUGGUUCUAAAGUGAAAGAUGGUUUUGCUAUCACUUAUAGAUGGACCCGCGCCGUAUUAGCUAGUUGGUAAGGUAACGGCUUACCAAGGCAACGAUACGUAGCCGACCUGAGAGCGUGAUCGUCCACACUGGAACUUAGACGCGGUCCAGACGCUUAUGAGAGUCAGCAGUAGGGAAUCUUCCGCAAUGGGCGAAAGCAUGACGGAGCAACGCCGCGUGAGUGAUGAAGGUCUUCGGAUCGUAAAACUCUGUUAUUAGGGAAGAACAAAUGUGUAAGUAACUGUGCACGUCUUGACGGUACAUAAUCAGAAAGCCACGGCUAACUACGUG